Molecule: ribosomal RNA, 119 nt
Filed under: Lepisosteus oculatus (spotted gar)
Lineage: Eukaryota; Metazoa; Chordata; Actinopteri; Semionotiformes; Lepisosteidae
Source: RNAcentral
UAUAGCAGCCAUGUCACCCUGCAACUCACAACUGGCAACCCACUGAAGCUAAGCAGGUGUGAGCCUGGUCAGUACCUGGAUAGGAGACCUCCUGGGAAAAACUAAGGUUGCUGCUGGAA